UGGUGGAGUGCUUAGAAGUGAGAAUGCCGGUAUGAGUAGCGAAAGAUCAGUGAGAAUCUGGUCCACCGUAUGACUAAGGUUUCCUGGGGAAGGCUCGUCCUCCCAGGGUUAGUCGGGACCUAAGCCGAGGCCGAGAGGCGUAGGCGAUGGAUAACAGGUUGAGAUUCCUGUACUGGUUAAACUUGUUUGAACAAUGGAGGGACGCAGGAGGCUAUCGAUGCGUACUGUUGGAUAUGUACGUUCAAGCAACAAGUCUGUAGAUGAGUCAAAUGCUUAUCUACUUAAGGA
RNAcentral lists this ribosomal RNA (288 nucleotides) under Ligilactobacillus sp. UO.C109. Its description in RNAcentral is "partial 23S ribosomal RNA". It matches the Rfam family "Bacterial large subunit ribosomal RNA", at positions 1271 to 1556 of the family's 2925-position model. Lineage: Bacteria; Bacillati; Bacillota; Bacilli; Lactobacillales; Lactobacillaceae. The record is from RNAcentral.